Molecule: long non-coding RNA, 1159 nt
Organism: Chroicocephalus ridibundus (black-headed gull)
Lineage: Eukaryota; Metazoa; Chordata; Aves; Charadriiformes; Laridae
Exons: 8
Source: RefSeq, a predicted model, not a curated record
GCCUGUGGUAACCAGCCUUCCCUGGGGCGGGCCCGCCUCAGCCCGGCCCUGCGCCUGAGGGCGAGGACGAGUCUCCUCCUCCUGCUGCCGUCGAAUCCGGCCUCUCGUGAGGAUAAAGCUCCGGUGUUGAGGCGAAUGCCAGGACAGGCUGUUCUUUAAAGAUGGAAGUUACUAUGAAGGCAAGUUUGUUAAUGGAGAAACUGUGGGGAAUGGAUUUCAAUACUAGGCAUCAGGGGCAGUGGAGAAAUGACGUAUUCAAUGAACGGGGUGCUAUAGUUAAUUGUUCUGGUGACAUCUGUGAUGGACUGUGGAUCAAUGGCUUCCCUGCUGACUGUAGAAGUUUUGUAAGAAACCAUGAUGUAGCAGGCAUUUCUGAGCAGCCUGUGAAGAGGACCACAGCAGAACAGAUAUUCACACUGCAGCCCAUGGAGGACCCCAUGCCAGAGCAGGAAUUCUGGAUUUGCACUGGCUGAUUUACUAGUCCCUAAGGGAGACAGAGCUGGAAUCUGGAUCUGACACGCUAUAUGGAGCAGGAGAUGCUUGAAGCAGCCAGCAUGAAAGGAGGCAUAAAGCCAAGUGGCAGGAUAUCUGCUGAGAAAGCUGAGAAGAUGACAGUCUCGCAGGAGAAAAUGAAAGACAGCAGAUCUCGCAUGACAUCCAAAGAAUACAAGCUACAAAAGGAUUAGCGCCUCAUAAAGAAUUCUAAGACAUUACAAGGCCAGUAUGUGCUUAUGGUCCAUGAAGUGACCAUGCCCCAACUCUUGGGCCAGACUCCCACACCUGCCUUCAAACUCUUGAAUUUUCCAGAGAAACCAAAACCAAGAACAAAGAUUCUUUCAAAGUCACCAGCAAGUAAAAAGGAUCAAACCCCACAGCCAGGGCUCUUAUCCAGGGGACACUGAAGUCAAUGGAAUUUUUCCCAUAGAAUGCAGUGGAAAUUGGAUUCGGUCUUUGCAUCCCAGUCACCCUUGUAAGGUUUUGUCAUGCAGGAAUGGGACUUCAGUUUUGAAAAUUACAGUCUUCUAAUAGCCAAGAAAAUAAUUGCCUUAAAGAUCCACAUCAUGGUCAUUGUCUUACUAUUAACAUCUUAGAAGAGAAAAGAUAUCUUCUCUGUCGAGAUUUGAGAUACAGAUUAAAAUUUAUCAGUUCUGUUUUUCUG